Molecule: unclassified non-coding RNA, 319 nt
Filed under: Hevea brasiliensis (rubber tree)
Lineage: Eukaryota; Viridiplantae; Streptophyta; Magnoliopsida; Malpighiales; Euphorbiaceae
Source: RNAcentral
AGAUUAAGUUCUAAAAAGCUCCUCAACUCAUCCGUCAUAAGCCCUUCAGAGACUGAGUUACACUGAUUUAGAGCGUCUAAAGACGAUUCAAAAGGAUGAAAAGCAGUUAGCUGAACCACUUUACCAAAACGAUUGAGAUCUGCGACGGAGCUGCGAACAGCGUCCGUGUUCUGCCCAAUUUCAUCAAGACCAUUAGCGAGAAAGAGACUGUAACCAGAAGCCGACUCAUAUAAUAAAUACAGAGUCAUGGUUGAAAUUUAGGCACCUAAACACAAACAAUAUGAGUUAUAGCCUUUGCUUCCUUUCUCUGUUAUCGGCG